Molecule: ribosomal RNA, 615 nt
Filed under: uncultured fungus
Lineage: Eukaryota; Fungi
Description: eukaryotic LSU rRNA
Rfam family: Eukaryotic large subunit ribosomal RNA
Source: RNAcentral
ACCCGCUGAACUUAAGCAUAUCAAUAAGCGGAGGAAAAGAAACCAACAGGGAUUGCCCUAGUAACGGCGAGUGAAGCGGCAACAGCUCAAAUUUGAAAUCUGGCCCUAGGCCCGAAUUGUAAUUUGUAGAGGAUGCUUCUGGUGACGUGCCUUCUGAGUUCCCUGGAACGGGACGCCAGAGAGGGUGAGAGCCCCGUAUAGUCGGCCACUGAACCUCUGUGAAGCCCCUUCGACGAGUCGAGUAGUUUGGGAAUGCUGCUCAAAAUGGGAGGUAAACUUCUUCUAAAGCUAAAUACCGGCCAGAGACCGAUAGCGCACAAGUAGAGUGAUCGAAAGAUGAAAAGCACUUUGAAAAGAGGGUUAAAAAGUACGUGAAACAAUUGAAAAGGAAGCACUUGUGACCAGACUUGUGCCGCGCGAAUCAUCCAGCGUUCUCGCUGGUGCACUUUGCGCGGUUCAGGCCAGCAUCGGUUUUCCUAGGGGGACAAAAGCUCUGGGAACGUGGCUCCUCCGGGAGUGUUAUAGCCCUCUGCACAAUACCCUUGGGGGGACCGAGGUUCGCGCUCUGCAAGGAUGCUGGCGUAAUGGUCAUCAGUGGCCCGUCUUGAAACACGG